CAGCCGCCGCGGGAAUACGAAGGGUGCAAGCGUUAACCGGAAUUACUGGGCGUAAAGCGUGCGUAGGCGGUUUGUUAAGUCUGUUGUGAAAUCCCCGGGCUCAACCUGGGAAUGGCAAUGGAUACUGGCAAGCUAGAGUGUGUCAGAGGAUGGUGGAAUUCCCGGUGUAGCGGUGAAAUGCGUAGAGAUCGGGAGGAACAUCAGUGGCGAAGGCGGCCAUCUGGGACAACACUGACGCUGAGGCACGAAAGCGUGGGGAGCAAACAGGAUUAGAUACCCGAGUAGUCCCUGUCUCUUAUAC
This 301-nucleotide ribosomal RNA is filed under the name uncultured bacterium. RNAcentral describes it as "partial 16S ribosomal RNA". It matches the Rfam family "Bacterial small subunit ribosomal RNA", at positions 509 to 807 of the family's 1533-position model. The record is from RNAcentral.